Molecule: microRNA, 23 nt
Filed under: Sus scrofa (pig)
Lineage: Eukaryota; Metazoa; Chordata; Mammalia; Artiodactyla; Suidae
Description: ssc-mir141
Source: RNAcentral
UCCAGCAGCGCAGCCUCGGCACC